CUCCUACGGGAGGCAGCAGUGGGGAAUAUUGCACAAUGGGGGAAACCCUGAUGCAGCAACGCCGCGUGAGCGAUGAAGGCCUUCGGGUUGUAAAGCUCUGUCUUCGCUGACGAAUAAAUGACGGUAAGCGAGGAGGAAGCCACGGCUAACUACGUGCCAGCAGCCGCGGUAAUACGUAGGUGGCGAGCGUUGUCCGGAAUUAUUGGGCGUAAAGGAUGCGUAGGCGGUAGAUUAAGUGGGGUGUGAAAGCCACAGGCUCAACCUGUGAAUGGCACUCCAAACUGGUCUACUAGAGUGCGGGAGAGGAAAGUGGAAUUCCUAGUGUAGCGGUGAAAUGCGUAGAGAUUAGGAGGAACACCAGUUGCGAAGGCGACUUUCUGGAACGUAACUGACGCUGAUGCAUGAAAGCGUGGGGAGCAAACAGGAUUAGAUACCCUGGUAGUCCACGCCGUAAACGAUGAGAACUAGAUGUCGGGAGGAAUUGCCUUUCGGUGUCGCAGCUAACGCGUUAAGUUCUCCGCCUGGGGAGUACGCCGGCAACGGUAAAACUCAAAGGAAUUGACGG
This 565-nucleotide ribosomal RNA is filed under the name uncultured bacterium. RNAcentral describes it as "bacterial SSU rRNA". It matches the Rfam family "Bacterial small subunit ribosomal RNA", at positions 336 to 916 of the family's 1533-position model. The record is from RNAcentral.